RNAcentral lists this ribosomal RNA (448 nucleotides) under uncultured bacterium. RNAcentral describes it as "bacterial SSU rRNA". It matches the Rfam family "Bacterial small subunit ribosomal RNA", at positions 330 to 794 of the family's 1533-position model. The record is from RNAcentral.
UCCAGACUCCUACGGGAGGCAGCAGUGGGGAAUAUUGCACAAUGGGGGAAACCCUGAUGCAGCGACGCCGCGUGAGUGAAGAAGUAUUUCGGUAUGUAAAGCUCUAUCAGCAGGGAAGAAAAUGACGGUACCUGAUUAAGAAGCCCCGGCUAACUACGUGCCAGCAGCCGCGGUAAUACGUAGGGGGCAAGCGUUAUCCGGAUUUACUGGGUGUAAAGGGUGCGUAGGUGGCAUGGCAAGUCAGAAGUGAAAGCCCGGGGCUCAACCCCGCGGACUGCUUUUGAAACUGUAUAGCUUGAGGGCAGGAGAGGAAAGUGGAAUUCCUAGUGUAGCGGUGAAAUGCGUAGAUAUUAGGAGGAACACCAGUGGCGAAGGCGACUUUCUGGACUGUACCUGACGCUGAGGCGCGAAAGCGUGGGUAGCGAACGGGAUUAGAUACCCUUGUACA